GUCCAUGUCCAAGCCACAGAUCUCACUCAGACUCCAGGGGACCAAGAGGACCCAACUGCUAUAUGUCAGUUUACACGCUCAUGGGCUGAGCAAACUUCACUAAAGAGAGCUUAUAGUUUUGUGACAGAGUCUGUCACUGAUUUUAUCUUCCCUCACACACGCUCUCGGCCCCCGCUCAUCCCUGCCAUGCCCACCCUUCCUGAGGAAGAGGAAGACUCUCCAGAGGAGCUCAACAGUACAUCCAGCUCGCCCUCCACAUACGCUCCAGUUGAAAGCAUGAUGGUAAGUGUAACCAUGACUCCACCAGCUAUUGUGCUUCCAAGACAAGUCAGCAAGCAAGAGCCCUGUCCUCUGGAGAAAGCAAGGUAUUGAUGUCAAGACCCA
RNAcentral lists this long non-coding RNA (384 nucleotides) under Sinocyclocheilus anshuiensis. Its description in RNAcentral is "lncRNA (ENSSANG00000030029.1)". Lineage: Eukaryota; Metazoa; Chordata; Actinopteri; Cypriniformes; Cyprinidae. The record is from RNAcentral.